Molecule: long non-coding RNA, 956 nt
Filed under: Malus domestica (apple)
Lineage: Eukaryota; Viridiplantae; Streptophyta; Magnoliopsida; Rosales; Rosaceae
Description: long non-coding RNA (MDOM_LNC012736)
Source: RNAcentral
AAGUAAGUGGUGACUAUGAUUAAGUACGUGCUUAAGUAUGAAGAUGACUCAAAUCUGUGGGGAUAAUAAUUUUUAACAUGUCAUGUGCAUUGGAAAUCCUUGAGGCAAAUGUUGGAAGGUUUAGGUUGUGUUUUAUUUACUUUGUUUCGUUUUAUCUCUUUGUUUUGCUCGAGGACUAGCAAAAGCUAAGUGUGGGGGAAUUUGAUAGGAGCAUAUUUAUGCGACUUAGUUGGCUUGUUCUUGUGCAUUUAUGUUGUGUUUCCUUAGUUAUUUUAAUGUUUAAAGUCAUUUUCGUGUGUUUUCAGAUUUUAUGGACAAAGUAGGCAAGAAUAUGCAUUUUGGAGCAUUUUGGAGCAAAAUGGGGCUUGGAAUGGAUAGCAAAUGCAUGGGCCAAAGUGGAUGGACGAAUUUGAGAACUAAAGAGGCCAAGAAUAUGAAGAAUUAUGGUCCAAAAGAUGAAGAAAACAGCCCAAAAAUUUGUCAACCCAACUUGCAUUCCUUGCCAUGCAAACCACAUAGAAUUCCCUUUGGAUUCCCAUGCCAUGCUUGAUCACUCUUGUCCCCUACAUAAUUUCUGAUUUCAUGCUUCAAUUCAUUUAAUUAUUACACUCAAUUGCUUGAUACCUCUUGUUCCCUUCACUCAUUAGAUUUUAGACAACAUUUACAUCCAUUACAUGCACCAAUUGAUGCUCCAUCAUUCACAUUUGGAAUCCAAUGCCAUGUCCAACACAUGUUGUUGCACCUUUGACCCAUUUGUUGACACAUUUUACCUCCCUUUCCAUCUCUAUGCAAUGUACACAAUCAUUCAUGCUCCCUAGCUACAACACCACUCCAUUUUUACCCUUGGACCAUUGCACACCACACACACAAAUUGCCAUGCAUUUCAUCCUUAACCUAACCUGAUUUUCUAAGGUUUUUGGGGCCUACAAAUACAUGUUUACACCCCUUGGCCAAAG